GGGAUCGAAGCGAAGUGGGGAGGGGUCGGGUCUCAGGGGUCGGGACCGGUUGGAAGGUUGAACACUUAGGCCUGGAAAACUAAGACAGGGGAUCAGGGCUCCGAUUAAGAUUAACUCGGGAGAUUAGGGGGCCGGUCAUCACAGCCUACCCCUCUUAAAAGAAUCUCGUCCUGAGAUUCAGGUAUCAAAAAGGGGGUGUGCUGUUCUUACCUCCUUGACGAGAUAGGAAACCUGGGAAGCGCUUGUUCAGAUACUCGUCCGUUUCCCAUGUUGCUUCAUCCUCGGUGUGGUUUCUCCAGAGGAUCUUGUACAUCCUUACCACUUGGCGCCGGGUAUGCCUUUCCUUCUGGUCAAGAACUCGGUCUGGGUACUCGGCGUAGGUCAGGUCGGGCUCUAUCUGAAGCUGCUCUUGCUCUA
This 417-nucleotide long non-coding RNA is filed under the name Setaria viridis. RNAcentral's name for it is "long non-coding RNA (SVIR_LNC003524)". The record is from RNAcentral. Lineage: Eukaryota; Viridiplantae; Streptophyta; Magnoliopsida; Poales; Poaceae.